GUGUGUGAAGAAGGCCUGCGGGUUGUCAAGCACUUUCGGUGGGGACAAAAAGUGGCGCGCUAACACCCUGCUAUCUUGAUUUAACCCAUAGAAGAAGCACCGACUAACUCUGUGCCAGCAGCCGCGGUAAUACAGAGGGUGCAAGCGUUAAUAGGAAUUACUGGGCGUAAAGCGCACGUAGGCGGCGUGAUAAGUUGGAUUUGAAAUCCCCGGGCUUAACUUGGGAAUUGCAUUCAAGACUGUCGCGCUAGAGCAUGGGAGAGUGAAGUGGAAUUCCAGGUGUAGCGGCGAAAUGUGUAGAUAUCAGGAGGAACAUCAGUGGAGAAGGCGGCUUUUUGGCCCAAUACUGACGCUGAGGUGCGAAAGCGUGGGGAUCAAACAGGAUUAGAUACCAUGGUUGUCCACGCUGUAAACGAUGAGAACUAGACGUAGUAAGAAUCUGCGUCUCAGUGUCGCAGAUAACACUGAUAAGUACUC
This 477-nucleotide ribosomal RNA is filed under the name uncultured bacterium. Its description in RNAcentral is "bacterial SSU rRNA". It matches the Rfam family "Bacterial small subunit ribosomal RNA", at positions 401 to 869 of the family's 1533-position model. The record is from RNAcentral.